GGACCCAUAGUUCAGCGGAUAGAAUAGCCGGCUUCGGACCGGCUGACCGAGGUUCAACUCCUCGUGGGUCCA
RNAcentral lists this transfer RNA (72 nucleotides) under Candidatus Pacearchaeota archaeon. RNAcentral's name for it is "tRNA-Arg". It matches the Rfam family "tRNA". From Rfam's summary of the family: Transfer RNA (tRNA) molecules are approximately 80 nucleotides in length. Their secondary structure includes four short double-helical elements and three loops (D, anti-codon, and T loops). Lineage: Archaea; Nanobdellati. The record is from RNAcentral.